This 796-nucleotide ribosomal RNA is filed under the name uncultured bacterium. RNAcentral describes it as "bacterial SSU rRNA". It matches the Rfam family "Bacterial small subunit ribosomal RNA", at positions 88 to 870 of the family's 1533-position model. The record is from RNAcentral.
AAAGCGAGCGGCGGAUGGGUGAGUAACACGUGGGGAACCUGCCCCUAAGUCUGGGAUACCAUUUGGAAACAGGUGCUAAUACCGGAUAAUAAAGCAGAUCGCAUGAUCAGCUUUUGAAAGGCGGCGUAAGCUGUCGCUAAGGGAUGGCCCCGCGGUGCAUUAGCUAGUUGGUAAGGUAACGGCUUACCAAGGCGACGAUGCAUAGCCGAGUUGAGAGACUGAUCGGCCACAUUGGGACUGAGACACGGCCCAAACUCCUACGGGAGGCAGCAGUAGGGAAUCUUCCACAAUGGACGCAAGUCUGAUGGAGCAACGCCGCGUGAGUGAAGAAGGUUUUCGGAUCGUAAAGCUCUGUUGUUGGUGAAGAAGGAUAGAGGUAGUAACUGGCCUUUAUUUGACGGUAAUCAACCAGAAAGUCACGGCUAACUACGUGCCAGCAGCCGCGGUAAUACGUAGGUGGCAAGCGUUGUCCGGAUUUAUUGGGCGUAAAGCGAGCGCAGGCGGAAAAAUAAGUCUAAUGUGAAAGCCCUCGGCUUAACCGAGGAACUGCAUCGGAAACUGUUUUUCUUGAGUGCAGAAGAGGAGAGUGGAACUCCAUGUGUAGCGGUGGAAUGCGUAGAUAUAUGGAAGAACACCAGUGGCGAAGGCGGCUCUCUGGUCUGCAACUGACGCUGAGGCUCGAAAGCAUGGUAGCGAACAGGAUUAGAUACCCUGGUAGUCCAUGCCGUAAACGAUGAGUGCUAAGUGUUGGGAGGUUUCCGCCUCUCAGUGCUGCAGCUAACGCAUUAAGCACUCC